GACGAACGCUGGCGGCGUGCUUAACACAUGCAAGUCGAACGAUGAAGCCGCUUCGGUGGUGGAUUAGUGGCGAACGGGUGAGUAACACGUGGGCAACCUGCCCUCAGCUUUGGGAUAACUCCGGGAAACCGGGGCUAAUACCGGAUACGACCAUUCCCCGCAUGGGGUGGUGGUGGAAAGUUUUUCGGCUGGGGAUGGGCCCGCGGCCUAUCAGCUUGUUGGUGGGGUGAUGGCCUACCAAGGCGUCGACCGGGUAGCCGGCCUGAGAGGGCGACCGGCCACACUGGGACUGAGACACGGCCCAGACUCCUACGGGAGGCAGCAGUGGGGAAUAUUGCGCAAUGGGCGAAAGCCUGACGCAGCGACGCCGCGUGAGGGAUGACGGCCUUCGGGUUGUAAACCUCUUUCAGCUCCGACGAAUUCAGACGGUAGGAGCAGAAGAAGCACCGGCCAACUACGUG
This 461-nucleotide ribosomal RNA is filed under the name uncultured bacterium. Its description in RNAcentral is "bacterial SSU rRNA". It matches the Rfam family "Bacterial small subunit ribosomal RNA", at positions 28 to 507 of the family's 1533-position model. The record is from RNAcentral.